Molecule: transfer RNA, 84 nt
Filed under: Monodelphis domestica (gray short-tailed opossum)
Lineage: Eukaryota; Metazoa; Chordata; Mammalia; Didelphimorphia; Didelphidae
Rfam family: tRNA
About the family: Transfer RNA (tRNA) molecules are approximately 80 nucleotides in length. Their secondary structure includes four short double-helical elements and three loops (D, anti-codon, and T loops). Further hydrogen bonds mediate the characteristic L-shaped molecular structure. tRNAs have two regions of fundamental functional importance: the anti-codon, which is responsible for specific mRNA codon recognition, and the 3' end, to which the tRNAs corresponding amino acid is attached (by aminoacyl-tRNA synthetases). tRNAs cope with the degeneracy of the genetic code in two manners: having more than one tRNA (with a specific anti-codon) for a particular amino acid; and 'wobble' base-pairing, i.e. permitting non-standard base-pairing at the 3rd anti-codon position.
Source: Rfam by way of RNAcentral
AGCUGGGUGGCUCAAUGGAUAGAGCACCAGGCUUGUAGACAGGAGGUCCUGGACUUGAAUGUGGCCUCAGACCCAUCCCAGCUG